RNAcentral lists this ribosomal RNA (448 nucleotides) under Nematostella vectensis (starlet sea anemone). Its description in RNAcentral is "Eukaryotic large subunit ribosomal RNA". It matches the Rfam family "Eukaryotic large subunit ribosomal RNA", at positions 1456 to 1888 of the family's 3401-position model. Lineage: Eukaryota; Metazoa; Cnidaria; Anthozoa; Actiniaria; Edwardsiidae. The record is from Rfam by way of RNAcentral.
GGUAGUAGCAAAUAUUCAAAUGAGAGCUUUGAAGACCGAAGUGGAGAAAGGUUCCAUGUGAACAGCAGUUGGACAUGGGUUAGUCGAUCCUAAGAGAUAGGGAAAUUCCGUUUGCAAGCGCCCGAUCUUGGGCCGCCUAUCGAAAGGGAAUCGGGUUAAUAUUCCCGAACCGGGACGCGGAUAUUGCCGUUCGCGGCAGAUGCGGUAACGCAAACGAACCCGAAGACGCUGGCGGGGGCCCUGGGAAGAGUUCUCUUUUCUUUUUAACGAGCUUUCACCCUGAAAUCAGCUUGCCCGGAGAUAGGGUUUAAUGCUCGGUAAAGCACCACACUUCUUGUGGUGUCCGGUGCGCUCUCGACGGCCCUUGAAAAUUCGGGGAAGACAUUGAUUUUCGUGUCCGGUCGUACUCAUAACCGCAGCAGGUCUCCAAGGUGAGCAGCCUCUGGUU